GGAAGUAAAAGUCGUAACAAGGUCUCCGUUGGUGAACCAGCGGAGGGAUCAUUACCGAGUUAUUACUCCAAACCCUUUGUGAACCUUACCUUUUUGUUGCUCGGCGCACCGCGGGCCGCGGCUUCGGCCCGUCCCGCAGCGCGCCAGAGGACCCAACUCUUCAAUUUAUAGCGUACCUUCUGAUUUACAAAACAAACAAGUUAAAACUUUCAACAACGGAUCUCUUGGUUCUGGCAUCGAUGAAGAACGCAGCGAAAUGCGAUAAGUAAUGUGAAUUGCAGAAUUCAGUGAAUCAUCGAAUCUUUGAACGCACAUUGCGCCCGGCAGUAAUCUGCCGGGCAUGCCUGUCCGAGCGUCAUUUCACCCCUCGAGCCGCUUUUAGUGGAUCGGUGUUGGGGCACUACGGUAAAACGUAGGCCCUGAAAUGAAGUGGCGGUCCCGCCGCGGUGCCCCCAUGCGUAGUAACGUUUAGUCUCGCAUCGGGUCCCGGCGGAGGCCUGCCGUCAAGCCUAUUUAUUCUCAGAAUAGUUUGACCUCGGAUCAGGUAGGGUUACCCGCUGAACUUAAGCAUAUCAAUAAGCGGAGG
Molecule: ribosomal RNA, 586 nt
Filed under: uncultured Pseudallescheria
Lineage: Eukaryota; Fungi; Ascomycota; Sordariomycetes; Microascales; Microascaceae
Description: eukaryotic LSU rRNA
Rfam family: 5.8S ribosomal RNA (bases 205-358)
Source: RNAcentral